This is a long non-coding RNA of Talpa occidentalis (Iberian mole), 401 nucleotides long. RefSeq lists it as uncharacterized. The record is from RefSeq and is a predicted model, not a curated record. The transcript is spliced from 3 exons. Lineage: Eukaryota; Metazoa; Chordata; Mammalia; Eulipotyphla; Talpidae.
UGAAGCUGUCAUUUUGGUGUCUGCGGUGACUGUACUGUGGGAAUAUCUCCCCUCAUCUGAUCUGGGUCACAAGGACCCUAAAUCUGGUGUGCUCUGAGCACAUGCCUGGUGCAGAUGCUGCCCGGCUGGGAAGGGGGUGGACUCAGGAUCAGGAGUAGAUGGAAGUAACAGAACAAACGUAAACCUGCUAAAGGCAGCCUUUUCCUGAGGGCCAAACGUGGGAUCACCCGCAUCAAUGGAGUGAAUGGAUGAACACAGUGUGGCCCAUCCACACAGGGGAGUAUCUCGCGACAAUGUGGAUGAACCUCAAAACACGCUGAGUGAGAGACCAGACACAACAAGCCACAGUGUGUGAUCCAUUCAUAUGAAGGGCCGGAAAGAGGGUUCCCAGCCCCCAGUCC